GGUGUCCCAACAGUCGUUUAGACUGCCCUCACACGGCGGAGGUCCGGGGUUCGAAUCCCCGCGGGCCCACCA
This 72-nucleotide transfer RNA is filed under the name Thermococcus kodakarensis KOD1. RNAcentral describes it as "tRNA-Val (CAC) (tRNA-Val-CAC-2-1)". Lineage: Archaea; Methanobacteriati; Methanobacteriota; Thermococci; Thermococcales; Thermococcaceae. The record is from RNAcentral. RNAcentral also lists the same sequence under 1 other name.